GUGCUCGCUUCGGCAGCACAUAUACUAAAAUUGGAAAGAUACAGAGAAGAUUAGCAUGGCCCCUGCGCAAGGAUGACAUGCUAACAUAGAAACCAGGUCAAGUGCUGU
Molecule: small nuclear RNA, 108 nt
Organism: Bufo bufo (common toad)
Lineage: Eukaryota; Metazoa; Chordata; Amphibia; Anura; Bufonidae
Source: RefSeq, a predicted model, not a curated record